UUGGAUGAUUGUAUUAAAGCUCUCUGAUUGGUUAUUAUAUAUGUUUUAUUUGAAUCAAUCAGAGAGCUUUAACACAAUCAUCUAAU
Molecule: microRNA precursor, 86 nt
Filed under: Paramuricea clavata
Lineage: Eukaryota; Metazoa; Cnidaria; Anthozoa; Malacalcyonacea; Plexauridae
Source: RNAcentral